RNAcentral lists this ribosomal RNA (392 nucleotides) under Chrysophyceae sp. Its description in RNAcentral is "partial small subunit ribosomal RNA". It matches the Rfam family "Eukaryotic small subunit ribosomal RNA", at positions 582 to 975 of the family's 1831-position model. The record is from RNAcentral. Lineage: Eukaryota; Chrysophyceae.
AUUCCAGCUCCAAUAGCGUAUACUAAAGUUGUUGCAGUUAAAAAGCUCGUAGUUGAAUUUCUGGUCUCGGACAGCGGUCUGCCUCAAACGAGGUACGCACCACCUGUUCAGGUCCAUCCUCGGAGAAAACAUGCCUGUGAUUCAGUUCAUGGGUAUGGGAUCUUCGUCAUUUACUGUGAGCAAAAUAUAGUGUUCAAAGCAGGCUUAUGCCGUUGAAUACAUUAGCAUGGAAUAAUAAAAUAAGACCUUGGUCUAUUUUGUUGGUUUGUACUCCAAGGUAAUGAUUAAUAGGGAUAGUUGGGGGGUAUUCGUAUUCAAUUGUCAGAGGUGAAAUUCUUGGAUUUAUGGAAGACGAACUACUGCGAAAGCAUUUACCAAGGAUGUUUUCAUUG